UAUUUAGCCUUUGCCUGAGGCGCUCUCACGAGCUUAAUAGGGAAUCCCGUUAAAGUCGGGAACGGACCCGCCGCCGUGAGUCCUUAACGGUUUUACCCCGUGUGGCCGGAAUAAAUCCGGUCCUGUGUGCCACUGAAUAAAUUUUCGGGAAGGCCGGGUGAAAUGGGACGAGUCGGAAGACCUGCCCGGGUGCAAAUCACGAU
RNAcentral lists this non-coding RNA (203 nucleotides) under Maridesulfovibrio salexigens. Lineage: Bacteria; Pseudomonadati; Thermodesulfobacteriota; Desulfovibrionia; Desulfovibrionales; Desulfovibrionaceae. The record is from RNAcentral. RNAcentral also lists the same sequence under 1 other name.